Molecule: ribosomal RNA, 1467 nt
Filed under: uncultured bacterium
Lineage: Bacteria
Description: bacterial SSU rRNA
Rfam family: Bacterial small subunit ribosomal RNA
Source: RNAcentral
GAACGAACGCUGGCGGCGUGGAUAAGACAUGCAAGUCGAACGGGAUUUUUUCCUGUAGCAAUACAGGAAAAAGUCUAGUGGCGAACGGGUGCGUAACACGUGAGCAACCUGCCAUGAAGUGGGGGAUAGCUCGCCGAAAGGCGAAUUAAUACCGCAUGUGGCCAAGGAAGACAUCUUCCUGACGCCAAAGCCGGGGUAACCUGGCGCUUCUCGAGGGGCUCGCGGCCUAUCAGCUUGUUGGUGAGGUAACGGCUCACCAAGGCUAUGACGGGUAGCUGGUCUGAGAGGACGACCAGCCACACUGGAACUGAGACACGGUCCAGACACCUACGGGUGGCAGCAGUCGAGAAUUUUUCACAAUGGGGGAAACCCUGAUGGAGCGACGCCGCGUGGAGGAUGAAGGUUUUCGGAUUGUAAACUCCUGUCAUUAGAGAACAAGGCACAUGGUUUAACUGGCCGUGUGUUGAUAGUAUCUGAAGAGGAAGGGACGGCUAACUCUGUGCCAGCAGCCGCGGUAAUACAGAGGUCUCAAGCGUUGUUCGGAUUCAUUGGGCGUAAAGGGUGCGUAGGUGGCGAGGUAAGUCGGAUGUGAAAUCUCCAAGCUCAACUUGGAAACUGCAUUCGAUACUGCUUUGCUAGAGGAUUGUAGAGGGCAUUGGAAUUCACGGUGUAGCAGUGAAAUGCGUAGAUAUCGUGAGGAGACCAGGUGCGAAGGCGAUGCUUGGCAUUCUGACACUGAGCACGAGUCAGGGAGCAACGGGAAUAGAAUUCCCCGUAGUCUGCAGUAACGUGCACGUUUGGUGUGGGAGAUUCGACCCCUUCGUGCCGAGCUAACGCGUUAAACGUGCCGCCUGGGGAGUACGGUCGCAAGAUUAAAACUCAAAGAAAUUGACGGGGACCCGCACAAGCGGUGGAGUAUGUGGCUUAAUUCGAUGCAACGCGAAGAACCUUACCUGGCCUUGACAUGCAUCUCUAAUCCGGUGAAAGCCGGUGAGUGUAGCAAUACACAAUUUGCACAGGUGCUGCAUGGCUGUCGUCAGCUCGUGUCGUGAGAUGUUGGGUUAAGUCCCGCAACGAGCGCAACCCCUGUGAACUGUUGCCAUGGAGACGUGAGUCUCCGGCACUCUGUUCAGACUGCCCUGUUCAACGGGGAGGAAGGUGGGGACGACGUCAAGUCAGUAUGGCCCUUACGGCCAGGGCUGCACACGUACUACAAUGCCCGACACAGAAGGAUCCGAGACCGCAAGGUGGAGGAAAUCACCAAAGUCGGGCCCAGUUCGGAUUGGAGGCUGCAACUCGCCUCCAUGAAGCCGGAAUCGCUAGUAAUGGCGCAUCAGCUACGGCGCCGUGAAUACGUUCCCGGGUCUUGUACACACCGCCCGUCACAUCAUGGGAGUCGUUUGUACCCGAAGUGCGCGCGCCAACCGCAAGGAGGCAGCGCCCUAAGGUAUGAGCGGUAACUGGGAU